CCCUCACCAACUUCCUGUGGUUACAAUCUACUUUGUCUCUCUUGGAUUUACCUGCAUAUACAUUGUAUGCCUCCUCUCCAAGGUCAAAACCUGCUCCGAGGUGGACGAGCCGUAGCUCCCCGAAUGGGCUUAAGAAGAGGUGGUGUUCGAGGUCGUGGAGGUCCUGGGAGAGGGGGCCUAGGGCGUGGAGCUAUGGGUCGUGGCGGAAUCGGUGGUAGAGGUCGGGGUAUGAUAGGUCGGGGAAGAGGGGGCUUUGGAGGCAGAGGCCGAGGUCGUGGCCGAGGGAGAGGUGCCCUCACUCGCCCUGUAUUGACCAAGGAGCAGCUGGACAACCAAUUGGAUGCAUACAUGUCGAAAACUAAAGGACACCUGGAUGCUGAAUUGGAUGCCUACAUGGCACAGACAGAUCCUGAAACCAAUGAUUGAAGCCUGCCUGCCUGCCUGCCCACCUGUUAGACUCUUGUUAAAGUCACCACAUCUAUACAACAACCUUGAGAAAACAUGAGAAGAAACGUGAUCGAUGCUGGAAGGACAUGUCACAAUAGGCUGUGGACUUACCUGCCACCAAUUGGUGCAUUUAGUCCCUUCCGUCUACUUUUUGAUACUGUGUUAUAUGAAACCCUAUUUUCCUUUAAUUUGGUUGAGUUUGUUUUGUUGUUUAUUCAGUCACCCAGACUUCUAUUUGAACAGGAAUGCGUUGGCCUUGUGAGUAGAACAAUUUUCCAACCUCUGCCUGUCAUAUACUCUUGACAUUUUUAAAUAUUUCCUCUGUUGAUUUGUAUGAUCCCAGGAGGAGCCAGUAUUCUCACUAUUGGGUGGUCUUUGGGAUAGAGUUCUACAUCUUUCUUUAAA
This 852-nucleotide long non-coding RNA is filed under the name Rattus norvegicus (Norway rat). RNAcentral's name for it is "long non-coding RNA NONRATT016618". The record is from RNAcentral. Lineage: Eukaryota; Metazoa; Chordata; Mammalia; Rodentia; Muridae.